CCUACGGGGGGCUGCAGUGAGGAAUAUUGGUCAAUGGGCGCAAGCCUGAACCAGCCAUCCCGCGUGAAGGAAGAAGGCGCUAUGCGUUGUAAACUUCUUUUCCAGGGGGAGAAUUUUUCCGUCGUGACGGGAAUUGACGGUACUCUGGGAAUAAGCAUCGGCUAACUCCGUGCCAGCAGCCGCGGUAAUACGGAGGAUGCGAGCGUUAUCCGGAUUUAUUGGGUUUAAAGGGUGCGUAGGCGGAUCAAUAAGUCAGUGGUGAAAUUCUGCAGCUUAACUGUAGACUUGCCAUUGAUACUGUUGGUCUUGAGUAUGGUCAAGGUAGGCGGAAUGUGUAAUGUAGCGGUGAAAUGCUUAGAUAUUACACAGAACACCGAUUGCGAAGGCAGCUUGCUGGGCCAAUACUGACGCUGAUGCACGAAAGCGUGGGGAUCGAACAGGAUUAGAUACCCCUGUAGUC
Molecule: ribosomal RNA, 460 nt
Filed under: uncultured Bacteroidota bacterium
Lineage: Bacteria; Pseudomonadati; Bacteroidota
Description: bacterial SSU rRNA
Rfam family: Bacterial small subunit ribosomal RNA
Source: RNAcentral